RNAcentral lists this transfer RNA (285 nucleotides) under Burkholderia oklahomensis. RNAcentral describes it as "tRNA-Und (NNN) (tRNA-Und-NNN-2-1)". The record is from RNAcentral. Lineage: Bacteria; Pseudomonadati; Pseudomonadota; Betaproteobacteria; Burkholderiales; Burkholderiaceae.
GCCGUGUUAGCUCAGUUGGUAGAGCAACCGCCUUGAAGAUACGAGUGCCCUAUCGGAAACGGUGGGAGUAGAACCCCUCAAACUCGGGGAAAGCUAAGGUCCGUCAGGACUAUGCCAAUCCCGAGCCAAGCUUGCCAUCGGCAAGAAGGUGUAGAGACUAGACGGGGGGAGCCUAAAGCGUCAGCCAGGGCUAAGGGAUAGUCCAGACCACAAACAGUUGGCGGCGAAAGCCGUAGUGGUAAGGUAAGCGGUAGGUCGUCUGUUCGAGUCAGACACGCGGCACCA